GCUUCUGCUAACCCAACUUCAAGGUCGACGCAUCCAGUCACGCUCAAUGAUGGGCAUGGUGACGAUUAGGGUUGCUAAUACGGGAUCCCACUUGGCAAAGCUCCGCUCCAUGUUGACUUUGUGAGGCAGAUGCAAACACAGCCUGAGAGGUGUUUGAAGUUUUCGGAUCCGCUUACUAUUGUGGAGACACAAGUUUCAAGUAGGUUUUGUGCACAUCCAGAUCCAGUUCUUCCAAGCCAUCUGUGCCAGGCAGCUUAACUUUCAUCACCAAUUCUUCACAGCUCAGACUUCCGCAGUCCUUUUCGCUCUACGAUUCAUUGUAAAAACAUGGCAUUGAAACUUCUUGGGAACAAAGGAGAAUGUAAACAGGAAGGCAUGAUGGAAGACUAAAGUAACGAGGCGAGGAGCUUACUCUGGCGUGAAACGAGCCCGGCCAUGUAAUUCGGCAUCCUUGUCAAUGUCGAUUUCAGGUUCCUCCUCUUUGUCUUGUUCUUUCUCUGGAAACCCAACACAAUCAUAGUCUCGCCUGAGAAUAUGAAUGUGAACCUUGAACUAUUCCUGUGUUUACUUGUUAAUUUCCUUCAAGAAUUUAUGAAUUUCUCAA
Physcomitrium patens is the source of this 604-nucleotide non-coding RNA. NCBI's taxonomy places the organism in Eukaryota, Viridiplantae, Streptophyta, Bryopsida, Funariales, Funariaceae. The record is from RefSeq and is a predicted model, not a curated record.